This 3928-nucleotide unclassified non-coding RNA is filed under the name Ceratitis capitata (Mediterranean fruit fly). RNAcentral's name for it is "tyrosine-protein kinase hopscotch, transcript variant X2". The record is from RNAcentral. Lineage: Eukaryota; Metazoa; Arthropoda; Insecta; Diptera; Tephritidae.
AAUAUCGCACACUGGUUCAUUUUCAAAAUGGCGUAAAAGCAGAUAAGAACUCAAAGAAUUUUGGAAACAUAUAUAAAAGUGUAUCAAUUUACAAUCAAAUUAUUUGUAAAUUUUAUGUGGAUAUUGACGUUUAAAGUGUGGGGGAACUAUAUAAAUUUGCAAAUAAACACAAAAACUAAAAUAUUAAAAUGCAUAUAAGGAAAGGAAUUGAAACGAGUAUUUAAAAAAAAUUGUGUACACAUCUGUAUGUAGAUAUAGUAAAUGCUUUUUAAUGAUACGAUUAUUAGGAGAAAAAUUGGAGGUGUCUCAGUGGAUUAUGAAUCAAGCUUCCAACACGUCUGGUACGACAAAUACGACUAUUACAUUGCUUGAUACUAACAGCGCCUCAUUUUCAAUGGGCGGCCGUAGUUCAAUUCAUAGUAAUGGUAGUAUCAGUAACAGCGAUCACACCGAUAUAUCCAGUGCUACUAUGCCAACUCAAACUUUACUUAAAAUAUUCAAUUACAAAGAUAAUAUAGAUAAUGAAUUUUCUAAUUUGACAUUAUGUGAGGAUAUUUGUUUGAGUAUAAGUCGCCAACUUAAAAUUUUGCCGACCACCCGGUUAUUGUUUGGAUUACGUGUUAUGGACUCUGGUAACGAAUGGGCUGCUCCCGGUCAUGAAUUAAGGCCUGGUGUACGGUACUGUUUUCGUAUGAGGUUUAAGGUGCCAAAUAUGGACACGCAGCUGAAAAAUCUAGACAAGCAGGCUUAUGAAUACUUAUACUGGCAGAUUCGACACGACAUCUUGCACGAAAAAAUUCCAGAAAUACGCCAUCCCGAACGAAAAGAUAAUGUCAUGGGCUUUGCUGUUAUGCAUAUGUGUAUUGAUUUACAAUCAAAAAGUUCAGAAGGCGAGCGAUUAGCUAGCAAUUAUAGGCGGGAAGUUAUAGAAAAUAUAGAAAAUAAGUACAAGGAGUAUUUACCACACACCUUAUUAAGAGAGCAUAGAUACUUUGUAAAAUCGAAAAUUCGUGCAACAUUUAAAAGUGUACGGGACAAAAAAAUUGGAUUCACCGAGUUUAAGUUUUAUUACAUUGAUGAAGUUUGUAAACUGGCGCCUAAUUAUUUGAUGGAAUUCUACUUUGUCGCAGUGGAAUAUAUUCCAAAUGAUGAUCCGAUUUCGGUGCAAGCAACUACAGGCAAAAUGGGUAAUAAUUCAGGAAUUCAAAGAGUUUAUGCGAAAUUAGACACUCAUGACCACCCAGAGCCAGGAUUAAAAAUUUCUCUUAAAAAAGACAACUGGACGUUAUUGGCAAAGCUGGAGGAUAUUUAUGCAAUUUAUAUCAAAAACGAAGUAGAGGCUUAUCUGGAAAUUAUUGAACUGCCAAGGAGCUAUUUUAUGCAAUUUAGUUCAAAAUAUGAACUAGAAUCGUUUGUUACAUACAUAGGAGGUUACUUAAGGCUAACUAGCAAAUGGUCUAAAGAUAUAUGCAACGAUUUUCCAACUCCGUCUUUAAAAUUUUUGAGAGAAACAAAAUGCCACGGUCCGAUUGGUGGAGCUUAUUCCUUUGACAAAUUGCGUAAGAUGUCGGAGAAACGGCCAACUUGCAUUAUAAGGCAGUGUGAAAAAGAGUAUGAUGUUUAUUUUGUCGAUAUAAAUACACAGAGGUCAGUGAAAGGUAGGUUUGCUGGAAACAUAGUAACCACCAAAAUAACAUUUCAAAACAAAAAAUGGAUUUUGCAUUCAACUGAGGGAUUGAAGGAAUAUGAAUCAUUGAAGGAUUUAAAGAAUUCAAUUUCGACUGAAAUGCUCUGCAUUCCGCAAUCCGAAUAUGAACAAGCACCACUUCUGCAUAUAUGUCUGCCAAAAAAUUUACAUCCAAAGGAGGCUGACACAGAACUAAGUAAAUCUGUACUUCAAAAAGGAAAAGUUCAAAUAUUUGAUAGGGGCAAUGACCUUCGUUGGUAUGAAAAUACACAACGUUCAGCUGAUAAUGGUAAGAUUAUCAUAAUGCAAGGAGAUUGGGUUCAGCAACCUGCCUAUAAGGAUGUGAAAGUGACGCUAAAGAUAUUUUCGGAAGAAAGUGACCUUAAGGAUUUCACAUCUCUGACACACUUCUGCAAUCAAAUUUAUUCUGCGCAAUUUCUUAAGCUGUACGGUGUGACAUUGACCCGACCCUAUACUAUGGCGAUGGAGUACGCGCAUUAUGGACCGCUUGAUAAAUUACUCCGAAAAAACAAAAAUAAAAUAUCUUUCUCUAUGCUUAUCGAUAUAGCAUUUGAUUUGGUCAGAGGAAUCGGAUAUCUGCGUGAAAAGAAAUUUUAUCAUGGCUCUAUAAGAUGUUCUAACAUGUUCGUAACUAAAUUCGAUGCAAAUAAUAACAAAAUUCAGACUAAAAUUGGUGAUCCUGGACUUCGCCGACCUUAUACCUACGAAGACCUUCCAUGGAUUCCCCAGGAAUACUAUAAUAAUCUCAAUGCUGUUCAUGGGGACAAUUGUGUAGAUGCAUGGGCCUUUGCAACCACUCUAUGGGAGAUAUUUGCAUAUGGCAAAUCACCGCUAGAGGAACUUGGUUGUGGCGGAAAUAUACACGAGAUGGGUGAAAAGCUACAAACGAAUCGAACACAAAGAUACGGUGGCAUAUUACCACAACCCAGCAAGGAUUGCCCAGACAAAAUUUAUCACAUCAUGCUAGACGGCUGGCAAACCGACGCUCACCGGAGAUUUGAUUGCGUAGAUAUCUUUGGAAUACUACAACAUUUCGAGAAAAGGCUACCGGUUUAUGAGUCAGAUAGUGAUUUUUACGACCACAAUGAAAAUAAUGAAGAUGACGAUGUGUCUUUGAAUUACUCUGAAGCGCCAUCAUCUCCACAAAAUCACAAUCGAUUUGACGAUGUUAUUAUGUCUGUUGUUAUACAACUCCCAAACGGAAAAGUGAUUGUAGAUAAACGUUUAGGUGAAGGUCAUUACGGCGUUGUGUAUUCAGGCACAAUAAACUGUAAAAAUAAGCCUAUCGAGAAAGUAGCAGUUAAAACUCUAAAAACGACUGCGAAUGUAAAAGAUUUCAUUCGUGAAAGUAAAAUAAUGACGGGCCUCGAACACGAAAAUGUUGUGAAAAUCAAAUGUUUUGUCGAGAAACCAAUUUUCUACAUUAUAAUGGAAUAUGUGUCUGGCGGUUCCUUUAAUGAUUUUCUUAUAGCUCAAAAGCAAGAUUUAACUAACAGAAUGCUUUUGCACUAUGCUCAUGACAUUGCUAAGGGUAUGAAUUAUUUAGCUGAAAAAAAGAUUAUACACAGAGAUUUGGCGACGCGAAACAUUUUAAUCGAGUCAGAUCGGUUAAAAAUAUCUGAUUUCGGUUUGGCGCAAUUUGCGAAUUCGGACGGAUAUUACAUUGUGCAAAGUAGGAGAGACAUCCCUAUAAAAUGGUAUUCGCCGGAAGCCAUACUUUAUAACAAAUUCUCCGUAUACACGGAUGUAUGGUCUUUUGGCGUAACUAUGUUUGAGACAUUUUCUCGUGGAGGAGAACCAAAUCUUAUAGACAACAGGGAGUUAAGUAAAGAUGAGUUUCUAUCCCAGUUACAAAGUGGAAAAAGGCUGAAAAAACCCGAAGGUUGUCCGCAAAUAGUUUACGACAAAUUAAUGAGAGAAUGCUGGAGAGAAGAACCAAGAAUGCGGCCAAACUUUGCUGAACUGCUUGUCAGUAUACGGUCAAUUAUGGAAGAACAAGGAGAAACCAUUUGAAAUGGCUAUUUUUCGUCAAUUUAAAUUUCACUUACCAUCGCUUUUUAAAAACAUGCUAUACCCACGACGAAAAUAUGUUUCAAAAGAAAAUUUAUCUGCACGUCAAUUUUGGAUCUGAUAUAAGUGUAGCAGAUUCCUCUUUCGGUGAAGUUCCGGCCGACUCUGUACUAAUUUGCUGGCGACCGGGGAAAUUCCAUUGUAAUUCUG